Long non-coding RNA from Homo sapiens (human), 2730 nucleotides. Ensembl annotates it as long intergenic non-protein coding RNA 559. NCBI's taxonomy places the organism in Eukaryota, Metazoa, Chordata, Mammalia, Primates, Hominidae. The record is from Ensembl.
AUUACAGUGGGCUCUAAUACGAUUUGACUGGUGUCCUUGUAAGAAGGGGAAAUUUGAACAUAGACACAUACAUAGAUAGGGAAGGAAAUGCGAAGACACACAGAAAGAUGACCAUCUUACAAGCCAACAAGAGAGGUCUUAAGCAGAUCCUCUCACAAUCUCAGAAGGCACCAACACUGCCAACAUUUCACUCUCUGACUUCCAGCCUCCAGAAGUAGAUCAGGAUAGAAUUGCUGUUUGACAUCUCUCCCAACUUCCUUAUGCUCUCCGGAGCAGAACACUUCACAGCAGUUAUCAAUCCCAGGGGGAGGAUCCAAACACUUCUUCCUAUUGCAUCUUGGAACUGGAGUCACUAAGAAAAAUGCAACAUGGUCAAGCACUGGGUAGAACAACACACUUUACUUACAGAGAGAAGAAACAGAACAAGAUAAGCUUAAUAGAGUGCUGUGAUCCCUUAUGGCUAGCACGUCACCCAGGCAGGUCACCCAGGCAGGUGGCUGAGAAUGGGCAAUUGGCCUACACGCACCCCUGUCGGGCUGAAGCAGAAGAACCCAACCCCUCCUCCAUGGAGUCUGAAAUAGUAAAAACUGGGUAUGUUCCUGAGGACCAUUGACUUACGAGCUUAAACGGAACAAAGGAGUGCACCCUGAGCUUAUAAGAAAAGAUACUUGCAUAUAAGACAAUAGGCCCUGCAGAGGCUAUCUGGGCUUUUGAUGUUUUGCAAUAAAAAAUUUCUAGGAUCAAGGCCCAUUUUUAUGCAGUCAACUGGGGGUGGAAAGACCCCACAAACUACCUUUCCCAACAGCCUGUCUUCCUUGUUGAGAAAAUUCUCUCAAGGUAUUUACCAGCAGUAAGUUGUUUGAUCCUCUAGAAUGUCUAAUGUCAUCUUGAUGUUGGAUUAUUGUGUUACCAAGCUAACACAAGUGAUGCCAAGAAUAGCCUGAGAAAUGCAGCAGUAAGAUGGGGAUUUAUGACUGACCCACCCCCUUGCUGGCGGGUGAGAGGAUGCCAUCUCUGUUGGAAGGUGAGGCUCGAAUCAUUCUUGGCACAAAGUCCCAGGUCAGUCAUCUGCCAGUUGGUGUUAGCCAGUGUCAAAGGACAAGACUACAAUACAUUUAGUUAAUGAUAUAACUGGCUUUCUUUCAUGAUUCAUGAAUUGGGGUAGCAUUCUAUUCUGUAGAAUAAGAGCUUCCCUGAGCUGAGCAGAAAAGGAUGGCUUCAUAGGCAGAAAAAGACUGAAGAAAGAAAUAAUGAAUGGAAAGUGAAUUGCUUGUUCCAGGGUUACUUUCCUUACAGAAUUAAAACGAGGGGACUUCCUUAUUAUGCUAAAUUGAAUUGACUGGAAUCUUGCUUGUUUUUCUUCUUGAAAUUUUGCCCAUUUCAAAGUUCAGUUUGAUUAAGUGGCACUUAUCAGGAGUGACUCCAUUCUGGUUUGGUCUGGUCUACUGAGGCCUAGUGCAGGAAGGCAGUUCAAGACAAUGACCUCCCAUAAAAUUUGGUUAACAUCAUGCUUUAUUAUCAGUCACAUGAAAACUGCCUGAAUUGUCACAGAAUGGAGUGGCAAAGUUGGAGACUACAUGUGGAUCUAAGAGCUUAGACGCUUAAUUAUAAUAGCUGAUCUAGCUACUCCUGCCUCUGAAAGACCAACUUGUCAACCUUUAAUAUGAAUAUCCCUUAAAGGAACCUAAAGGACACUUGGUGGUAAAUUGACUAUAUUGAGCUUCUCCCUUCCACGAAGGUCGUGGAUACCCAUUCUGGUUAUAAGUCUGCUUUGCCACCCUUGAGUCUGAGCCAAAAUCCUUCACUGGUGCUUAUGGUAUGCCUGAUACACAGCGUAGCUUCUGAUCAGGAAACCCUCUUGACAGUGAAGGAUGUGAGGGGCAAAGCCCAAACCCAUGGGCUUCAAUCAUUGUAUCACACACAGACCCAUCCAUAAGCAGCUGGUAUCACAAGGUGUUGGAAGAGCUUCUAAAUGCACCCUCCUCAAGUCUCAGGUGUAAGACAAUAAUCAAAAAGGAUGUGGUAUUUCAUAGGAAGAAAAAAGUUGUUCAUCAUUAGAAAGAACAGAAGGUCUUGAAACCAAGGAGGAGAAAAACGAGUAACUCCACUUACUACACUUCCUAUUGAUUUAAUGAAGGAUUUGCUUCCCAUCUCUGCAAAUCUGGGUUCAUCAGCUUGAAGGUCCUGUUCCUCAAAGCUGGUGUAUUUUGGUGACUAGAAGCAGCAAGUGUCCCAAUGGACUACCAUUUAUGACUACCAGGGAAGUUCAGACUCCUUGUGCCCAAAGUUUACCAGGAAGAAAGGCCUGCAGAUACAAUAGAAAAGCCUUCACACAAAUCUGCUGGAGAAGUAGAUCCGGGUGAAACAGCAGGAAAACUGUCGUAAAAAUGCAUAUCUCAGAUCUCCUACUAGUAGGGUCAUAAGCAACCCAUGACUCCAGCUGCUGAGGUCUAAAUCUGUCACUACUUAUGCUCGGAGACUAUUUCCUGUGGAGGAAGUAUUCUUAACCAAUUACUGCAUUUGGCUGUGAUAUGAAAGUUGGCUCAGUCCUGUAAGUUUCCAGAUUCUUCUAAGAGUGAACUGCAUUGUAAUCUGAGAAUUUAUGUUUUCCCUUCCUUUCAUUCUUCUCUUUCAAAGGGUUUAGUACUACAUUGUAGUUCGAUGGUUUUCCAGCCUCCUCUGGUUUCUCAAUACACAAAAGUUCUUCCAGUAAAUCUUUUACAUACAUAA